GAUGAACGCUGGCGGCGGGCCUAACACAUGCAAGUCGAGGGGGAGGUUACUUUCGGGUAACUGAGACCGGCGUACGGGUGCGUAACGCGUAUACAAUCUGCCUUUCACUGGGGGAUAGCCCGAAGAAAUUUGGAUUAAUACCCCAUAGUAUAGUAAUACGGCAUCGUGAUGCUAUUAAAGCUUAGGUGGUGAAAGAUGAGUAUGCGUUCUAUUAGCUAGUUGGGGAGGUAACGGCUCCCCACGGCGGUGUUAGAUAGGGGUUCUGAGAGGGAUGUCCCCCACACUGGUACUGAGAUACGGACCAGACUCCUACGGGAGGCAGCAGUGAGGAAUAUUGGACAAUGGUCGGAAGACUGAUCCAGCCAUGCCGCGUGCAGGAGGAAGGUCUUAUGGAUUGUAAACUGCUUGUGUAAGGGAGGAAUAAGGGCUACGCGUAGUUUGAUGACGGUACCUUACGAAUAAGCAUCGGCUAACUCCGUG
This 480-nucleotide ribosomal RNA is filed under the name uncultured bacterium. RNAcentral's name for it is "partial 16S ribosomal RNA". It matches the Rfam family "Bacterial small subunit ribosomal RNA", at positions 28 to 507 of the family's 1533-position model. The record is from RNAcentral.